AUGAACGCUGGCGGCGUGCCUAAUACCUGCAAGUCAAGCGCACGGACGAGAAGCUUGCUUCUCUGAUGUUAGCGGCGGACGGGUGAGUAACACGUGGAUAACCUACCUAUAAGACUGGGAUAACUUCGGGAAACCGGAGCUAAUACCGGAUAAUAUUUUGAACCGCAUGGUUCAAAAGUGAAAGACGGUCUUGCUGUCACUUAUAGAUGGAUCCGCGCUGCAUUAGCUAGUUGGUAAGGUAACGGCUUACCAAGGCAACGAUGCAUAGCCGACCUGAGAGGGUGAUCGGCCACACUGGAACUGAGACACGGUCCAGACUCCUACGGGAGGCAGCAGUAGGGAAUCUUCCGCAAUGGGCGAAAGCCUGACGGAGCAACGCCGCGUGAGUGAUGAAGGUCUUCGGAUCGUAAAACUCUGUUAUUAGGGAAGAACAUAUGUGUAAGUAACUGUGCACAUCUUGACGGUACCUAAUCAGAAAGCCACGGCUAACUACGUG
RNAcentral lists this ribosomal RNA (496 nucleotides) under uncultured bacterium. RNAcentral's name for it is "partial 16S ribosomal RNA". It matches the Rfam family "Bacterial small subunit ribosomal RNA", at positions 29 to 507 of the family's 1533-position model. The record is from RNAcentral.